UGUUAAAAAAUUCAUUCAUUUAUAAUUAUUAAAAACUGGUGUGACUAACAGAAUAAUCAGAUAUGGACACUUUAUGUGCUAUGUAUAUUUCAUGUUGACAUGUACAAGGAUUAGCUUUUAACAAUAAAAAUGGAUGGAAUUUUUAAUG
Non-coding RNA from Gossypium raimondii (Peruvian cotton), 148 nucleotides. NCBI's taxonomy places the organism in Eukaryota, Viridiplantae, Streptophyta, Magnoliopsida, Malvales, Malvaceae. The record is from Rfam.